GCCUGAAGGAAGGGCCAAAGAUGCCAUGAAGACAAAGAAGACAAUGAUUAACCUUGUGCUGGUGCUGGUGUCAACAGGGAGGAUCAAGCUUUGUCCAGGCAGCCUACAGUGAGGCUAAUAUAGAUAGCCUGUAAAGCCGCAAUCAUCCAUUCGGAGGGAUCACCUUCAAAAGAAAAAAAAAGAAAGCUGCGCCAAUCUCGACUAUAAACAGAAGAACAGAGAUAAAGAUGGGUGUAAAUGUUGGACUGUAGAACUUGCAUCAAAACGGGAACAAAUGAUCAAACUCCAGCCACCUCUCAUCAUGUCUAGUUUUGCUGGAUUGUGCUUUCUUUCAACACGAUCAAGAAAGUGAAAAGAAGGACACCACUAAAGUAUUUUUUAUUUCUCAUCUUUUCUCUUAUCACCUUUUCUCUUAUAUGGGUGGCAUGGUGGUGCAGCGGUAGCAGUGCCAGGGACCCAGGUUUGAUCCUGACUGCGGGCGCUGUUUAUAUGGAGUUUGUACAUUCUCCUCGUGACCUGCGUGGGGUUCCUCCGGUAACUCUGGGUCACCUCCCACACUUCAAAGACGUACAGAUUUGUAGGUUAAUUGGCUUGGUAAAAAUUGCAAAUUGCAGUAUUGAUGUGAGGGGAUCGCUGGUCGGCGCGGACUCGGUGGGCCAAAGGACCCGUUUCCACGCUGUAUCUCUAAACGAUACUAAAAUAAACUAAACCAUUACUCGUA
This is a long non-coding RNA of Leucoraja erinaceus (little skate), 721 nucleotides long. RefSeq lists it as uncharacterized. The record is from RefSeq and is a predicted model, not a curated record. NCBI's taxonomy places the organism in Eukaryota, Metazoa, Chordata, Chondrichthyes, Rajiformes, Rajidae. The transcript has 2 exons.